RNAcentral lists this transfer RNA (73 nucleotides) under compost metagenome. Its description in RNAcentral is "tRNA-Thr". The record is from RNAcentral.
GCCUGAGUAGCUCAGUCGGCAGAGCGCGGCCAUGGUAAGGCCGAGGCCAGCGGUUCAAACCCGCUCUCAGGCU